GCAAUAUGAAGGCCAGGCUGAAGACUUUGCCGGAUUAGCUGAGAGGUGGUGCAUGGCCGUCGUCAGUUCGUACUGUGAAGCAUCCUGUUAAGUCAGGCAACGAGCGAGACCCACGCCCACAGUUGCCAGCGUACUCUCUGGAGUGACGGGUACACUGUGGGGACCGCCGCUGCUAAAGCGGAGGAAGGAAUGGGCAACGGUAGGUCAGUAUGCCCCGAAUAUCCCGGGCUACACGCGAGCUACAAUGGUUGGUACAAUGGGUAUCUACCCCGAAAGGGGACGGGAAUCUCCUAAAACCAAUCUUAGUUCGGAUUGAGGGCUGCAACUCGCCCUCAUGAAGCUGGAAUCCGUAGUAAUCGCGUUUCAACAGAACGCGGUGAAUACGUCCCUGCUCCUU
Molecule: ribosomal RNA, 397 nt
Filed under: uncultured Methanosaeta sp.
Lineage: Archaea; Methanobacteriati; Methanobacteriota; Methanomicrobia; Methanotrichales; Methanotrichaceae
Description: bacterial SSU rRNA
Rfam family: Archaeal small subunit ribosomal RNA
Source: RNAcentral